This 422-nucleotide ribosomal RNA is filed under the name uncultured bacterium. RNAcentral describes it as "bacterial SSU rRNA". It matches the Rfam family "Bacterial small subunit ribosomal RNA", at positions 496 to 917 of the family's 1533-position model. The record is from RNAcentral.
ACGCUCGACAGUGUCAGCAGCCGCGGUAAUACGUAGGGUGCAAGCGUUAAUCGGAAUUACUGGGCGUAAAGCGUGCGCAGGCGGUAAUGUAAGACAGUUGUGAAAUCCCCGGGCUCAACCUGGGAACUGCAUCUGUGACUGCAUUGCUGGAGUACGGCAGAGGGGGAUGGAAUUCCGCGUGUAGCAGUGAAAUGCGUAGAUAUGCGGAGGAACACCGAUGGCGAAGGCAAUCCCCUGGGCCUGUACUGACGCUCAUGCACGAAAGCGUGGGGAGCAAACAGGAUUAGAUACCCUGGUAGUCCACGCCCUAAACGAUGUCAACUGGUUGUUGGGUCUUCACUGACUCAGUAACGAAGCUAACGCGUGAAGUUGACCGCCUGGGGAGUACGGCCGCAAGGUUGAAACUUAAAUGAAUUGACGGG